This 606-nucleotide ribosomal RNA is filed under the name uncultured bacterium. Its description in RNAcentral is "bacterial SSU rRNA". The stretch from base 1 to 515 matches the Rfam family "Bacterial small subunit ribosomal RNA", at positions 338 to 873 of the family's 1533-position model. The record is from RNAcentral.
CCUACGGGAGGCAGCAGUGGGGAAUCUUGCGCAAUGGACGAAAGUCUGACGCAGCCAUGCCGCGUGAAUGAUGAAGGUCUUAGGAUUGUAAAGUUCUUUAGCCUGUGACGAUGAUGACGGUAACAGGAGAAUAAGCCCCGGCUAACUUCGUGCCAGCAGCCGCGGUAAUACGAAGGGGGCUAGCGUUGUUCGGAAUUACUGGGCGUAAAGCGCGCGUAGGCGGUUAUGCAAGCCAGAGGUGAAAUGCCUGAGCUCAACUUAGGAAUUGCCUUUGGAACUGCAUGGCUUUGAGGACGAGAGAGGUGAGUGGAAUUCCCAGUGUAGAGGUGAAAUUCGUAGAUAUUGGGAAGAACACCGGUGGCGAAGGCGGCUCACUGGCUCGUUUCUGACGCUGUAGCGCGAAAGCGUGGGGAUCAAACAGGAUUAGAUACCCUGGUAGUCCACGCUGUAAACGAUGAGUGCUAGGCGUUGGCACGCUUGCGUGUCAGUGCGCNGCUACGCGUGAGCACNCCGCCGUGGGAGGUACGGUCGCGAGAAGUUAAAACUACAAAUAGAAGUUAGACGGCGUGAGACGUAGCCGAACGGACGACGACGAGGGGAGGAGGG